Molecule: small RNA, 3060 nt
Filed under: Pongo abelii (Sumatran orangutan)
Lineage: Eukaryota; Metazoa; Chordata; Mammalia; Primates; Hominidae
Description: retained intron
Source: RNAcentral
CUACACCACUGGUGUCACUUCUCGCCUCAUCCACUCCCAGGAGGAGCUGAUCCAGUGCCUGAAGCAGGGGGCCCUGUCCCGCACCACAGCCAGCACCCAGAUGAACGUGCAAAGCUCACGCUCCCACGCCAUCUUCACCAUCCACCUAUGCCAGAUGCGCAUGUGCACCCAGCCUGACCUGGUGAAUGAGGCAGUGACCGGGCUUCCUGAUGGUACACCUCCCUCGAGUGAGUAUGAGACACUCACCGCUAAGUUUCACUUUGUGGACCUGGCCGGCUCAGAGCGGCUGAAGCGGACAGGGGCUACUGGCGAGCGGGCCAAGGAGGGCAUCUCCAUCAACUGUGGCCUGGUAGGCACAUGGUGGGUCAUCAGCCCCAGUACCCGCACAGCUCAGUCUCAGACCCCUCCAAGGCCCUGCAGUCCUACACCUGCUGUGUCCUCCUUGGACAUCUUGCCAAUUAGCCCUUUACUCUCAGGCCUCACCCCUGUCCCCAACUUCCCCAUUUCACCAACUUAUCCAUCUGCCUAUAAACCCACCCAGGGAGCAAGAGGGCUGCUGGGGCCAAAGAGGCAGCUGGCCUUGGGCAAUGUGAUCAGCGCCUUAGGGGACCAGAGCAAGAAGGUGGUGCACGUUCCCUACAGGGACUCCAAGCUCACUCGGCUCCUCCAGGAUUCGCUGGGGGGCAACAGCCAGACCAUCAUGAUCGCCUGUGUGAGCCCCUCAGACCGAGAUUUCAUGGAGACCCUCAACACACUCAAAUAUGCCAAUCGGGCCCGCAACAUCAAGAACAAGGUGGUAGUGAACCAGGACAAGACCAGCCAGCAAAUCAGUGCACUGCGGGCUGAGAUUGCUCGGCUGCAGAUGGAGCUGAUGGAAUAUAAGGCGGUGAGCAUGCUCCUGGGCAUUGCCCAGCACUCCCCUUGGAGCUAGUGCUCCAUAUGCACCCUCUGCCCUGCAGCCUCACCCUAACUUCCUCAGCAUCCCUUCCACCUCCCUAUUACCCAUCAUCCACUUUGGACAUGACUCUUGAGCAUCAGUUGUGUGCCAGGCAUGAUGCUCACUAUUAGGGACUCACUCACGUGAAUCAAGCAUAGUCUGAGCCCUCAAGAUUUUAGAAUACUAAGUCCAAGAAACAAGGGCUGCCCGGCUUUUGUUGCAUAGAUCUUAUGCACAGGGCAGACACUCUCCAGGGUGUUUUCAUGUCUGCUGAAUGUGUUGUGUUGGAACAGAUAAGACUGCUAGACUGGCACAGAAUCGUUGAUAGAGGGGCCCACAGGAGUAUCCAGUGUGCCGCAGAGGGGCAGAGGAGAGAGUUGGCCUUACUUGCAUGGAUGGUCAGAGAGGGCCUCAUGGGAAAAGGGGCCUUUUAUAUGGAUUUUGAAGAAUGAAUGAGGUAACAGCAAAAUGAGAUGGGACAGCCAUUCUAGGUAAAGAACAAGCCAUGCACAAAGGAACAGAGUGGGAAAAAAUGGGUCCUUUGGGGGAAAUGUCUAAUUCUAUGUGACUAAGACAGAAGUCACCAUUGGUAGCCCAUGGCCCGAAUCUGGCACAUAGAUGAGUUUAGGUUUGGCUUGCACUUGUUUUAAAAGAAUGCAACUUAGUUGUCAACCUUUCUGAAAGUCAGGGAGUUUCAGUUUUGCUAGAAAAUUUUAAAGAUCUAACAACUCAUGGUACCAAGUUGGCUGGAGAGGCAUAGGGGCUGCCCCUUUUAGACUGAGUCUGGGACUCGCUUAGUUCCAGUCUCUACCACUCCCUAUUGUCUUACAACCAGCCUGACUCAUUUAUGCCAACUGCCUGGCAGAGAGAGUUUUGACCCUUGGACUAGAGUUUAUGGAGAUAUAAAAAUACACUGUGGAAAGUUAGGUCAAGUAAGAUUGUGAGAGGCCUUGAGUGGCUGGUUACAAAAUUUGGACUUUUUAUUGUCUAGGAGAACUGUGUAAGGUUUUUGAUCACUGGGGCCAGUAGCUGUGUUUUAGGAAACCUGGGGCGGGGAGACUGGUGAUGCUGCCAUAUCCAGGGGAAGGCCAGGGUGCUGGCAGAAGGAGGGGCAUCAUCAGCCCCUUCCCCCCACCGCGAGCUGUGCUGCCUGACUGCUCCCCUUUGCCCCUGCUCCCAGGGCAAGCGAGUGAUAGGAGAGGAUGGCGCCGAGGGCUAUAGUGAUCUGUUCCGGGAGAAUGCCAUGCUACAGAAGGAGAAUGGGGCCCUGCGGCUGCGGGUGAAAGCCAUGCAGGAGGCCAUCGACGCCAUCAACAACCGCGUCACCCAGCUCAUGAGCCAGGAGGCCAACCUGCUGCUAGCCAAGGCCGGUGAGUUGGGCUGUGCCAGGCCAGGUCAGAGCACCAACGGGCUAGGACCCCCUCCCCCCACAUCCACCCCAGAGUAUCAGGUGGACUAAGUCAGCCAGUCAAUUCACAGUUCAACUCAUUUAUGCAUUUUUUUCACUUGAUUUUAAAACAUUUUUGUAUGGCACAAGUAAUACAUGAACACAUCCUUCUUGUUCAACAUGCAAACAAUACAUCACUAUAUGAAGUGAAAGAUUAAAAUCGCCUCUCCCUGAACCCUCCACCCCAAGCCCUCUCUACUUCUCAGAAGGAACCUCUAUGAAUAGCUUGGUGUGUAUUUUCCCACACCUUUCUCAGUAUUUGUUUCAAGUAUGAAUAUGUAUUCAUGUACAUUCUUAAAUGUGUGUAUGAUAUAGACUACUUUUUCUGUGUAUGAGAUUAUAUAUAUUGCUCUAAGACUUCCCUUUUUCAUUUAGCAUUAUGUUUUAUAAAUCUUUCCGUAUUAAACCUACUUGUGGUUCACGCCUGUGAUCCCAGCACUUUGGGAGGCCACGGCAGGAGAAUCACUUGAGCCCAGGCGUUUGAGACCAGCCUGGGCAACACAGGGACACCUAGUCUCUACAAAAAAUACAAAAAUUAGCCAGAUGUGGUGGCACCUGCCUGUAGUUCAUGUUACUUGGGAGGCUGAGAUGGAAGGAUUGCCUGAGCCCGGGAGGUUGAGGCUGCAGUCAGCUGUGACUCUAGCCUGGGCGACAGAGCAAGACCUUGGCUCUAACC